RNAcentral lists this ribosomal RNA (484 nucleotides) under uncultured bacterium. Its description in RNAcentral is "partial 16S ribosomal RNA". It matches the Rfam family "Bacterial small subunit ribosomal RNA", at positions 29 to 507 of the family's 1533-position model. The record is from RNAcentral.
AUUGAACGCUGGCGGCAUGCUUUACACAUGCAAGUCGAACGGCAGCGCGGGCUUCGGCCUGGCGGCGAGUGGCGAACGGGUGAGUAAUACAUCGGAACGUGCCCAGCAGUGGGGGAUAGCUCGGCGAAAGCCGGAUUAAUACCGCAUACGACCUGAGGGUGAAAGCGGGGGAUCUUCGGACCUCGCGCUAUUGGAGCGGCCGAUGGCAGAUUAGCUCGUUGGUGGGGUAAAGGCUUACCAAGGCGACGAUCUGUAGCUGGUCUGAGAGGACGACCAGCCACACUGGGACUGAGACACGGCCCAGACUCCUACGGGAGGCAGCAGUGGGGAAUUUUGGACAAUGGGCGAAAGCCUGAUCCAGCAAUGCCGCGUGUGUGAUGAAGGCCUUCGGGUUGUAAAGCACUUUUGGCGGGAACGAAAAGGACUGUGCCAAUACCACGGUUCGAUGACGGUACCCGCAGAAUAAGCACCGGCUAACUACGUG